CUCGAUUGCAGUGAUUUUACUAUACGCCUACAUUCGGGUUAUGAUUUAGCAUGCCUUCAACAAGAUUUAGGCGAUGGCUUGUGAGGAUAGUAUCAUAUGGUGUUGCUACUGUUUUACUUGUUCAUCUAGUGUUAUUAUCAUGCUUAAGUUCUGAAACGAUGGGGUCUUUGCAUGCUUGAGAUUUACAUGAUGAUAUGAUACUUAAAUUGAGCUUGAAACGGAGGUGGGGUUACCUUCUCUUGCACUGUUUCUGCUCCCCACUCCUAGCUUCAAUCUCUCUCCCUCUCCAACUUGAUAACGUGCUUGCUGAGUAUGUUGUGGUAGAAGGGGUGAGGCUAAGGGGACUAUACUAUAUAUAUAAGGGUUUGUGUAACUGAAAGCCUGCAAGGCUGGUUGUUUGUGCAGAAAAAGGGUCCCUAGGUUGAUUGUUCAUUGGCUGAUUGCAAUAAGGCAGGGCAUGUACUCGUGAGAAAUAAAUGCAAUUCCAUCCUCAUUUGUUACUCUACUGCAGUGGCCUCAGUCUCUCUGUGUCUUGCAACAUUCUCAUUGAGUUUUUAUGCGGCUUUUUGCAGGUGUACAACUCUGCAAUGUGGUUAACUGAUCCCUGCGGCUGGAUCUCUGCAGAGCUGCUGUGGCUGUGGAUUUUCCUUGGCUUGUAGCAGCUGGGUAUGGACUGUGGAGCGCAGGAAAUGCAGCCCUCCAUACUCCUAAAUUUGGUAACUUUUGGUCUUCAUCAAGGAAAGAGGGCUGAUCACAUCCGGCUGUCAACUGGAUGCCCCGGGCCCAACGGCCGUCGACAAUCGGGCCGAAAACCAGGCCUAAGGAAGGGGCCGAAGCUUAGCAAAUUCUAAAUUGUAGUAGGGUAGUGUUUUUCCAAGCUUUCUUUUCCUUCAACAUGUACGAAACGUUUUAUAAAGUUAGAAUGUAUUAUUUUUCCUUCAUUUUCAUUGUCACCCAUUUGUAAGUUAAGACAUAGUUCGUAAAGUAACAUGUAUUUUAUUUACUUAAGGAAUAAACGGACACAUUCCCAUUUUUA
This is a long non-coding RNA of Salvia splendens (bonfire salvia), 1036 nucleotides long. RefSeq lists it as uncharacterized. The record is from RefSeq and is a predicted model, not a curated record. Lineage: Eukaryota; Viridiplantae; Streptophyta; Magnoliopsida; Lamiales; Lamiaceae. The transcript is spliced from 2 exons.